UGCUAAGUGGUUGCUAGGCAGUUGCUAACGUUUUCCAGGUGGUUGCUAGGCAGUUGCUAAGUUGUUGCUAGGCAGUUGCUAACGUUUUCCAGGUGGUUGCUAAGUGGUUGCUAGGCAAAUGCUAACUGGUUGCUAGGCAGUUGCUAACGUUUUCCAGGUGGUUGCUAAGUGGUUGCUAGGCAGUUGCUAACGUUUUCCAGGUGGUUGCUAGGCAGUUGCUAAGUUGUUGCUAGGCAGUUGCUAACGUUUUCCAGGUGGUCGCUAAGUGGUUGCUAGGCAGUUGCUAACGUAUUCCAGGUGGUUGCUAGGCAGUUGCUAAGUGGUUGCUAGGCAGUUGCUAACGUUUUCCAGGUGGUUGCUCAGUGGUUGCUAGGCAGUUGCUAAUGUUUUCCAGGUGGUUGCUAAGUGGUUGCUAGGCAGUUGCUAAGUGGUUGCUAGGCAGUUGCUAACGUUUUCCAAGUGGUUGCUAGGCAGUUGCUAAGUGGUUGCUAGGCAGUUGCUAACGUUUUCCAGGUGUUUGCUAAGUGGUUGCUAACUGGUUGCUAGGCAGUUGCUAUAAUUUCUAAAGUGGUUGCUAAGUUGUUGCUAAGUG
Long non-coding RNA from Astyanax mexicanus (Mexican tetra), 592 nucleotides. RefSeq lists it as uncharacterized. The transcript is spliced from 3 exons. NCBI's taxonomy places the organism in Eukaryota, Metazoa, Chordata, Actinopteri, Characiformes, Acestrorhamphidae. The record is from RefSeq and is a predicted model, not a curated record.